CGAGUUAAAAAAAUGUAUACGUGCCAAGAGGCCCAUCCCCAAUAUUAAAAUUUAUCUACUGAAAAGCCAGGAACUACAUGUACUAUGAGUUCCAGAGAACACCCAGUGCUGAGUACCAAGCUAUUUGAAUGAAGUCACCUUAGACUUUCUAUCUUGGAUGAAUUUGGUCCAUCAGGUAUCUGCAGUCACAUGAAUGAGCACAC
RNAcentral lists this long non-coding RNA (203 nucleotides) under Fukomys damarensis (Damara mole-rat). RNAcentral's name for it is "lncRNA (ENSFDAG00000029415.1)". Lineage: Eukaryota; Metazoa; Chordata; Mammalia; Rodentia; Bathyergidae. The record is from RNAcentral.